Molecule: long non-coding RNA, 1127 nt
Organism: Alosa sapidissima (American shad)
Lineage: Eukaryota; Metazoa; Chordata; Actinopteri; Clupeiformes; Clupeidae
Exons: 3
Source: RefSeq, a predicted model, not a curated record
GGCGUCAGGGAGCCGCUAUCAAUAUGCGGGAGACUCCCUGAACUUCCGGGAGACUUGGGAUGUCUGUCUCUGGCUUCGCGAAAGUGCGUUGAGUGCGUGAGGAUGCCAUCAAGGCAUGUGAGCAGCUCAUCAACUGGGGUUACUUUACAGCCAGGGUCUUCAGCUUGCUUGGCCUCAACAAGUCGUUCAACAUAUGCACCUGCCCAUAUGAACACAUGAUUUAGCUUAACUUCGUCAUAUUCCUCAUGGGGGGGGGCAUUAACAAUUCACAAAACCUCUUUGUGCCACAGGCGAUAUUGGUUAUACACAUCUCUGGAGCUCCAAUCGACUUGUGUUUGAGGAAGACAGCUACACACACACACAAACAGAGACUAUUGGACCCAAUACAUCGGAAUGGGCAAAGCUUCUCUCACCAUUCAUCACCCCUCCAGUCUGGAGCACUCUAUCACUGAGCCGGACCACGGAAAGGUUGUGGACACGACCCCCACCAUGAUCCGGAUGACGCAGAGGGAUGGUGCGUUGAUAGGGUGUGGCGGUCGCGUCGUCUUCAGGAAGGUGUCCGAGCGUGAGGCGAACAGAUACUCCGAGCUCGACUGCUUCUCUGCCUAUGGGGGGAAAAAGAACGGCAGGCAGGCAUGGACCAGGAAUGACCUGAACCUCAAAAGUGAAGUGAAGUGGGCCAGUGAUUCUGAAAUGAUCAUCACCAUCACAUUAUGAGGAAGAGAAAGAUUGAGGGGAAAAAGACAUAGAAAUGGCAGAUGCUUUGUGAAAUGUUCUGUAUGUGUUUGAGGCCAGCUUUCUCACUCUAUCUAUCUCUCUCUCUCAGAAAUAAAAACUCUAGGUUACAUAAAUCACUAUCUUUGUACUUGAUUUGAUGUUUGUGUUAUCAGAGGUUGUAUGUGGGGUGGUACAUUGUGUUCUACUCAGCGCCAGAGAACAGGUGCUGUCCAGAUGGGAACUCUUUAGCUAAGCAAGAUUUACUUACACACUGUGUUACAUUCAUUUAAGUGUUAUACAAUGAUUCUGUGCAACUGCACGUCCAGCAUGAUAUUGAUACGUACAAAGGCCAAUCAUUCUGCCAUACUGGUUGAUUCCUCUAAUAAACUGUGAUGCUUGUGAGAACACCA